UCCUGAUAGCUCAGUUGGUAAAGAAUCUGCUUUCAAUGCAGGAGACCCCGGUUCGAUUCCUGGGUCAGGAA
This 71-nucleotide transfer RNA is filed under the name Bos taurus (domestic cattle). It matches the Rfam family "tRNA". From Rfam's summary of the family: Transfer RNA (tRNA) molecules are approximately 80 nucleotides in length. Their secondary structure includes four short double-helical elements and three loops (D, anti-codon, and T loops). Further hydrogen bonds mediate the characteristic L-shaped molecular structure. tRNAs have two regions of fundamental functional importance: the anti-codon, which is responsible for specific mRNA codon recognition, and the 3' end, to which the tRNAs corresponding amino acid is attached (by aminoacyl-tRNA synthetases). tRNAs cope with the degeneracy of the genetic code in two manners: having more than one tRNA (with a specific anti-codon) for a particular amino acid; and 'wobble' base-pairing, i.e. permitting non-standard base-pairing at the 3rd anti-codon position. The record is from Rfam by way of RNAcentral. RNAcentral also lists the same sequence under 3 other names. Lineage: Eukaryota; Metazoa; Chordata; Mammalia; Artiodactyla; Bovidae.